This 1067-nucleotide unclassified non-coding RNA is filed under the name Zea mays. Its description in RNAcentral is "misc RNA Zm00001eb109630". The record is from RNAcentral. Lineage: Eukaryota; Viridiplantae; Streptophyta; Magnoliopsida; Poales; Poaceae.
CUGGCUGCGCGCCUCCCCGACCCCAUCAUUGGCGGCUCCAGCUCCCACGACGGCGACAUUCCGCCGCUCAUGUCUCGGCCCCCCUCACUGGCGACCCCGGCCCCAGCAACACACAGAGAGCAAAAAGGAUGGGUCUUCGACACACCGUCGGAUCCCUUGGGCACCGCCUACCUUUGUCGCCACCAUUCCCGUCCUUAUCCCUUCGCCUACUCAAGCGAGCAAUGGAGCGCCAGGGGUUCAUCAGCAGCAGAAGAGGCUGCUCUCAGUGCUUGUAGCGCCCAAGGUUGCAGAAACCAGCAAUGUUGUGUCCCUCAAGCUGAUGGGUGGUGCCCUUAUUGGGAGACGCAUGAAUCGAGUGCGGCAGCAGUUGACUCCACGGACCCGCCAGCUGAGAAGCAUGAGUACCAGGUUGAGGUCAACAGGCUCAUGGUUUUGAUCGUACACAACCUGUAUAGUAACAAGGAAGUUUUCCUUCGAGAACUGGUCAGGUAUGACUCUGGUGAAACCGUGAGGUCGGCAAAGUUUAUUUCAAGGAAACAAUGGGUUGUAGCUGGUGCAGACGACAUGUUCAUUCGUGUCUACAACUACAAUACCAUGGACAAAGUUACUUUCAAUCCAAAGGAUAUUAACACCUUUGCAAGUGCAUCCCUUGACCGCACUACAAAGAUAUGGAGUUUGGGUUCUCCAGAUCCAAACUUCACACUUGAUGGGCAUCAAAAGGGUGUCAACUGUGUUGACUACUUCACUGGUGGUGACAGACCCUAUUUGAUUACUGGUUCUGAUGACUCCACCGCAAAGACGAAGAGAUGUGUUCAGACACUUGAAGGGCAUACACAUAAUAUUUCUGUUGUUUGUUUCCAUCCUGAGCUCCCUAUAAUCAUUACUGGAUCUGAAGAUGGUACAGUUCGUAUAUGGCAUUCGACAACUUACAGACUUGAGAACACACUAAACUAUGGCCUUGAGAGAGUCUGGGCUGUUGGAUACAUGAAGGGGUCUAGAAGGUAAGAUCAUUUGCAUUCUGUUUUUGUUUCAGUAGUGCUGUUACUUGUAAUGGACACUAGCUAUUA